ACCUAAAGGCCCAAGAGAGAGUGGGCAGCCCAGAGUCUGAUAGCCCAAAAAGAGAGAGGGCAAUCGGACUAAGGAAGGUGGGUACCAGGCAGAAAAGUUCCAUCGGUACCUGGUAACCCAAAGGCCCAAGAGAGAGUGGGCAGCCCAGAGUCUGAUAGCCCAAAAAGAGAGAGGGCAAUCGGACUAAGGAAGGUGGGUACCAGGCAGAAAAGUUCCAUCGGUACCUGGUAACCCAAAGGCCCAAGAGAGAGUGGGCAGCCCAGAGUCUGAUAGCCCAAAAAGAGAGAGGGCAAUCGGACUAAGGAAGGUGGGUACCAGGCAGAAAAGUUCCAUCGGUACCUGGUAACCCAAAGGCCCAAGAGAGAGUGGGCAGCCCAGAGUCUGAUAGCCCAAAAAGAGAGAGGGCAAUCGGACUAAGGAAGGUGGGUACCAGGCAGAAAAGUUCCAUCGGUACCUGGUAACCCAAAGGCCCAAGAGAGAGUGGGCAGCCCAGAGUCUGAUAGCCCAAAAAGAGAGAGGGCAAUCGGACUAAGGAAGGUGGGUACCAGGCAGAAAAGUUCCACCGGCCCAGUGUGGACUUAUGUUCUGGGUGGAAAGCGGCUGGGUGACCAGGUGCACAUGGGCCUUUUUAGGUGACCAGGUGCACAACAUCCAUUUUGGGUGACCAGGUGCACAA
Long non-coding RNA from Oncorhynchus nerka (sockeye salmon), 676 nucleotides. RefSeq lists it as uncharacterized. The record is from RefSeq and is a predicted model, not a curated record. Lineage: Eukaryota; Metazoa; Chordata; Actinopteri; Salmoniformes; Salmonidae. The transcript has 2 exons.